Molecule: ribosomal RNA, 951 nt
Filed under: Cassava witches'-broom aster yellows phytoplasma
Lineage: Bacteria; Bacillati; Mycoplasmatota; Mollicutes; Acholeplasmatales; Acholeplasmataceae
Description: bacterial SSU rRNA
Rfam family: Bacterial small subunit ribosomal RNA
Source: RNAcentral
CCAAGACUAUGAUGUGUAGCCGGGCUGAGAGGUUGAACGGCCACAUUGGGACUGAGACACGGCCCAAACUCCUACGGGAGGCAGCAGUAGGGAAUUUUCGGCAAUGGAGGAAACUCUGACCGAGCAACGCCGCGUGAACGAUGAAGUAUUUCGGUACGUAAAGUUCUUUUAUUAGGGAAGAAUAAAUGAUGGAAAAAUCAUUCUGACGGUACCUAAUGAAUAAGCCCCGGCUAACUAUGUGCCAGCAGCCGCGGUAAUACAUAGGGGGCAAGCGUUAUCCGGAAUUAUUGGGCGUAAAGGGUGCGUAGGCGGUUAAAUAAGUUUAUGGUCUAAGUGCAAUGCUUAACAUUGUGAUGCUAUAAAAACUGUUUAGCUAGAGUAAGAUAGAGGCAAGUGGAAUUCCAUGUGUAGUGGUAAAAUGCGUAAAUAUAUGGAGGAACACCAGUAGCGAAGGCGGCUUGCUGGGUCUUUACUGACGCUGAGGCACGAAAGCGUGGGGAGCAAACAGGAUUAGAUACCCUGGUAGUCCACGCCGUAAACGAUGAGUACUAAAUGUUGGGUAAAACCAGUGUUGAAGUUAACACAUUAAGUACUCCGCCUGAGUAGUACGUACGCAAGUAUGAAACUUAAAGGAAUUGACGGGACUCCGCACAAGCGGUGGAUCAUGUUGUUUAAUUCGAAGGUACCCGAAAAACCUCACCAGGUCUUGACAUGCUUCUGCAAAGCUGUAGAAACACAGUGGAGGUUAUCAGUUGCACAGGUGGUGCAUGGUUGUCGUCAGCUCGUGUCGUGAGAUGUUGGGUUAAGUCCCGCAACGAGCGCAACCCUUAUUGUUAGUUGCCAGCACGUAAUGGUGGGGACUUUAGCAAGACUGCCAGUGAUAAAUUGGAGGAAGGUGGGGACGACGUCAAAUCAUCAUGCCCCUUAUGACCUGGGCUACAAACGUGAAAC